GAUUAUAUAUUAUCAGGACACCUACUUGCUCAUAAAUAUUCUUAUGAAAUUAUACGAGACUGCUGGGUUUCCUCAGGGUGCUCCGGUUUCCUCCUACUUUCCAAAGAUGUACCAAUUGGUAGGUUAGUUGGUCAUUGUAAAUUGCCCUGUGGUUAGGCUAGGGUUAAAUUGGGGACUGGUGGGCAGCACAGUUCAAAGGGCCUGAAGGGCCUAUUCUUCACUGUAUCUUAAUAAAUAAAUAAAUUUCUCAAGUGCAUAUAGAUCUUCUCAAGUUCUCAAAUCAACGGAAUAAAUUUCAGUGACAGAGAAAAUUGUGUUAUUCUAAUAACCAUGAAUGUUAUUUAAAGCUGCUGAGUGGGCCUGAAGUUGCAAGUAUCAGAAACAUCCUUCCCCUUUGAAUUGAAUUGAAUUAUCUUUAGUGUCAUUCUACAUAGGUACAACGAAACUCUGUUUAGAUUCCUCUCAGGCAAUUAAAUAAAGCAGUAGAUAAAAACCAGACAGUAAUAAAAAAAACAGUAUUAAAUAGAUAAGUAGCAGAAAAUAAGUUGCAGCAGCACCAGAAUAUCACAGUAAUGCACAAAGUGCCGUUAGUGCAAAUAUUUGAGUCCUUGUGUGUGCUCACAGUUUCAAUCAUUGUUCUGUGGGAUUGGUGUGAUGGAGGCCACAACUCUGGGGUAUAAACUGUUCCUCAGUCUAUUUGUUCUGGCUUAUAGUGUCCUGAACCUUUUGCUGGACAGCAGUGGAUCAAACAGGGAGUGGCCGGGUGUGUGGUGUUUCUGUUAUGCUGAUUGCUUUCCUCCUGAGUCUGCUGGAAUAGAUGGUGUCCAGUCCUUUCCCCCCCCCCUACCCCCCAACUCACAAUAGUAUCGUAGGUUGUUUGGUAAUCCAUCGUUCAGAUGAUAAAUUAAACUAAGAAUUCUUCUGGUCUUUCAGGUAGAUGUAACAGAUCCCAUGGCACUGUGCUGAAAAAGAGUAGAGCAGGUCACUCCCCAGUUAAAUUUACUUAAAAACAAAGCAAUUAAUCCUGGAAAUAAUCAGGAAGCAAUUCGUAAGAUGGCAGAAAAUAUACUGUAGCAUAACCUAAAUUAUAAGAGAAGCUUCACUUUCGAUGGCAUUCAGUGGCUAUAAAACACCCUGUGAUAUACUGAUCUCGGGAAAGGUGCUAUAAAAGUACUAGUCUUUCUUUGAUGUUGUGUUAAGUCAACAGAUCUAGAAGAUCAAAAGCUAAACAUUUAAGAGGUAAUUCCAUGAUCUAACACUCAUAGUAGGAAAUUGUAUGUGCAGGAAGUACAGACAAGUAACUGAUUACGAGAGAGUUUUCUCUCUCAGAAGAAUGCUCCCAGCAAGCUCAGCUGGGAAUGUGAUAGCGCCAAAAGGCCCACGUGCUGUAGGGUGAGUUCUAUGAUCUCAACUGAUUAGUGAGUUAAUCAGCAUCAUUGGAGAAAGAAAUGGAAAUGGUAUCUUAUUCAGUCCUCAACAGAUUACAUAGGGUGACCAGUGCAUGCUGUUUAUUUCAGACAUGUUGCUAUUAAUACCAUCAGCUCACAUGAUUUACUGAGCUCAAGAGAGAGAAUUCGAGGUGCAAAAAUGCACAGCAAGCUCUACUUAUUAUUUUUCUUUUUGAUUUAUCUGUGAAAAAUAAUACCUCAGGUUUUGUUGCAUUAUUUGGAGUGGUUUUUAGUGGCUCCCUCUGUUCCUUCAGUGAUAUGGAGCUGAAAUAAAUUAUUUCUUAAUGACAACCAGCACUUUCAAUGGCUCCACUAGAUUUAGCAGAGUACAUGCUAAUUCAAUUGUCCCCUCAGAUUAUACAUCUUUAUGCUUGAAAAUAUUUUCCGCAAAUACUGCUUAAAAUAAAAAUCAAUGUGAAAUGUGAAAAUCGAUCCUGAGGCUUUCUCUAUGCUCCCUUUUUAAAAAGAAAACACAUUUAGCAUUCAUGAAGGAAAAAGAGAAGGUGGGGCGAUACAGGAAUUUGUCUGAAGACUUUAAUUUUACGUUCUUAAGCCAUAUGCACUUCAGAAGGGAUUGAAUUGCCCUUCAGCUUGUCAGGCAGGAUAUGCAGUGUGAGAAAAAAGUGUUUUCCAACCUGUAUCCUUGGCUUCAUCACCAAGGCGGCAGUAAAGAGGAUUAUCAAACAAGAAUGGAUCUUGUUGAUUCAUCAGUACCUGAAUAGAUGCACUACUUAGAGGCACUUUUAUGUUGAUAGAGUGCCUUCGAUAGCGAGUGCAAAGUUCUCCUACUGUGACAAAUCUCUGUUAUACAAAGUGGGAAAAGUCCAUAGACCUAAUUGUAGUAUAACCCAUGAAUUACAGUAAAGGCUGGGUUUGAAUCUAAAUGCGUAGAGCUAGAUUCAUGUCCUUCUAUUCUUUAACUGUGAGUUAAUGAUAUGCUAUAUUGCCCAUUCUUAAUGGCUUCUUCUUUUCUUAGCCAGUUCAUCGGAAUUGAGAAUUACUCACUUCCAUUCAGGUUUUGUGGUUCUGGGAUGGCGGAAUAGGCCCACGUGGGAACUGCAGAUUCUUCCAUUCAUGGGCAGGAGGAGACUGAUGGGGUACUCAGCUGCCCAGCAACAAAGACUUUGUGCGCAGGAGCAUUUCAGUUUCUGUGGGCUGUGCCCCACUCAGCUUAGAGGGAACAGUGAUUAUCAAUGACUGAAAUUGUCAUCAUAAAGGAGAACUAAAGGCUUUUCUGUACAGUGAGAUUAAAAUCUAUUACAAAAUGGAAUCAAACACCCCAGUUAUGGUUAUAUUUACACUUUGAACACUUAACUAUCCAAAGAAGAAAUAUGCUACAACCCACUUAUUUUGGAUUAGAACUCCAGUGAGAAAAUUAAAAGGAUGUUAUCCAUACCCACUUGAUCCCUGAAUAAUAAUUAUCUUCAGAAUUAAAGCUGGGAAUUAUUUUAUUUUUCAUAUAUAAACAAGCCUCCCUUUGUGCUUGACAUCAAUAUUUUUCUUUCACUCCACAUGGAAUGCUAAUGAUUGAAGUGAGUUGUAUUCUGAAAUCUUCGCUCUUGGUGAAAAGCCACUAGAUGCCAUAAUUACAAGACUUCCUGUUAAAUAGAGAAUUGUUCUACAAGAUGAUUUUUACCAAGCUGAGUACCAAGAGAGGAAGCAAAACUGAAAAUGACUCAUUUCCAAGUUUAUAUGAGUUACUCAGUAAAGCCACAGGGAACGUCAGGAGAAAUUGCAAAAAAUGCUGCCCCACAUCACUGCAAGGUAUCUGAAAUUAUGUUGCAGCUUCUGCGGUCUUUGUCUACAGGAAUUAUGUUAAUAUUCUUGGAGAUGUAGGGAAAUGUUUUUAAAGGCUGAAAGUAAGUUUCAGAUUCUGAUUUAAACUUUUGGGUUGCUGGUUGAUAAGGAAACUGUUCUAAAAUGAGACUUGAGCUAAGCUAAUACCCAACACAGCCACUGGCUUUCUGUUCACAUUUAGACAGAACAUAAAUAGAUUAAUAUCAAAGCAAAGAAAGAUACUCAAAGAAAAAAAAAGUUUCACUUAACUUAUUAUUCAUGCAAAAUAUACUUUUAUCUUGUCUUUCAGAGCCUUAGAGUGAUCUCAAAGUCAAAGUCAAGUUUAUUAUAUAUUCAAGCACAUGUAUGCACAGGAGGAAUGAAAAGCUUACUUGCAGCAGAAUCACAGAGACGGCAUUCACAAGGAAAAUAUAAAUUGCACAAUUUUUACCAGACAAAAAUACAGUUUGAACAAAAACAAGUCAAUUUUAACACAAAGUGAUCUGAGUGGUCAUAGUGCUGUUAAAUUGUAGUGUUUAGGGUUUAGCCAGUAGGUUCCAGUACCAGAUGGUUGAAGGGAAGUAGCUAUUUUUGAGUGUGAUAUGGUGCUUCAGGCUUCUAUACCUCCUUCCUGACGAUAGCUGCAAAAAGGUGUCAUGGCCUGGAUAUAGGAGAUCAUUGAUGUUGCCUUCUUGAGGCAGCUCCUACCAGUGGAGGAGAGGGAUAUACACACGAUGGAUUGAGCAGAUCUCUGCUUCUUUUUACAUUUCCAUGCAUUCAAAUUGCUAUAGUGCACCAUGGUACUUUCAACAGUACUUCUGUCAAAGUUUGCUGGAGCAGGUUGCGAUAAGCUGAACUUCGAAUAAACUCUUCUCGGGCUUCCAGCCGGAUGCAGGUAUUGAUUAUAACUGAAAUUGCAAUGCCAAACUCUGCCAUCUUCUUCAGGGAUCAUACCUGGGUAUGUCUAGUCCAGUGGCAUUUACACCCCCAUAGUCCGUCCUUUCAUAAUUGAUUAGUCCUCAUCCUUUCCACUCUCCCACCUUGGAUACAAUCAAAUUCCAGUUCUUACUUAGAAUGAGACCUCCAUCUUUGUUAAAAUUCUUUUCUUCUACUUUUAUUUCAAUGGCAUCCUUCACCAGGCAAUCCCAAAAGCCAUUGUCGCGGCACAGUAGUUCUGUGCCAUCGAAGUCAAUCCUAUGGCCAUUGUGAAUGCAGUGUUCUGCUACCACCAAUUUCUUCAGGUAACUGGAAUGAAUACCCUUCCUGUACUCCUUGAUGUGGGUUUCCCCACAUGGCCAUUAUAUCCUGCUCUGCAUUCACAGGGAAUCCUUUAAACACUAGACAACUUAAGUCUCAGGACAAUUUUGACCCCCAUAAGCGAUGACUUGAGCUUCCUCAGGGGUUUGUGAAUUGCAUUGAUCUGAUAUUUCUUCAGGCUCCUGGUGAUCCUUGCAGAAACGGUGGAAAUAUAAGGAAGGCAGGCGGUAGCGACAUGUUCCUCCUCGUUGUUAGGUGUCCUGGUUUUUCUAUCGGCAGAACCUCCAAAGAAAGUUAAGGAGUUGGUGCACAUUUCUUGUGAUGGUGUCUACAUACUGGGCCCAGGACAGAUCACCUCAGAACCUGAAUCAGGUUGAAUAUCGCUGGCAUAUUUUGUGAAAUUUGUUGUUCUGUGGAAAUACAUGAUAAUAAAAAAGCUAGAAAUUACAAUAGCAAAUAUAUAUGUAAAAUAAAUUAAAUAAAGAAUUUGAUUUAAAAGAGAGGAAAAAAUAGUGAGUAGGCGUGCAUGAGUUCAUUGUCCAUUUGCAAAUCUGAUGGUGGAGGGGACAAAGCUGUUUCUGAGUCAUUGUGUGUGUCUCUUCAGGCUUCUGUCCCUCUUCUAUGAUGAGAAGCAGACAUGUUCUGGGUGUUGAGGAAUGCCAUCUCUUUGAGACAUCGCCUUUUGAAGGAAUUUAAAGCUGCUGAUUCUCUCCAUUGUCAAUCUCCCAAUGUUGACUGAUUCACAUUCUUCCUCUUUUCUCUCCUGAAGUCAACAAUCUGCUCUUCAGUUUUGCUGACAUUGAGCAAGAUGUUACUGUUGUGGUCAGAUAUACGAUCUUACUCCAGUAAGCUAACUCAUCACUAUCUGUGAUUUGUCCAACGAUGAAAUUGGUGGUGGCAUUGGAACUGUGCUUAGCCACACAGUUAUGUUUGCAUAGAGCAAAGCAAGGGGCUAAGCACGCAGCCUUGAGAGUUUCUGAUGGACUGGGCUAAAUGUGCCAAACCCAAAAAUCACUCUAACUGCAACCACACAUAUGAAAUCAGCAAUAACCUACUUAAAGCAGAUUCCCAAAAUCAAUGAUUAAAUUGAUCUGUUAAUUUGUGAUUCAAUUAAUAUAAAAUGCUUCUCAGGUAACCCCAAGUUAUGAAUAGUUGCCAGAAACUCUCCUCCGAUAAUGCCUGUAUGAGACUAAAGAUGAAGUGUAAUUUUAAUAUCAUGUUCAAAAGAUGCCACCUCUGACACUGUGACAUUAGGACUAAACUUUAUCUUAGUCAUAUGCCCUGACAUCUGGAAAAAUGUUAUAAUUUAUUUAAGUUUAACUCUGCAUAUCUUGUCUCUGUACUGUUACUGGUACUCAGAGAAAAUAGUGUGGUUUUUAAUUGGCACUGUCGGAAUUUUAGCAAAAUAUAUAAAAUUCUAUGAAGCUGAGAAACAGAAUAUGAAACAAACUAUUGUAUUUUCCUAUGUUACAACUGAAGAUAAUUGUUUUACUCAGAACUUUCUAUUAUUAAAAAGGAUGUU
Hypanus sabinus (Atlantic stingray) is the source of this 6003-nucleotide long non-coding RNA. RefSeq lists it as uncharacterized. The record is from RefSeq and is a predicted model, not a curated record. The transcript is spliced from 3 exons. Lineage: Eukaryota; Metazoa; Chordata; Chondrichthyes; Myliobatiformes; Dasyatidae.